GAAAUUGGCCAUGUGGGCGUAUCUGUGUCACAGAAAUAGAUAAAUGCUACAUAUUUUUUCUUUCUUUUUUUUUAUUUUUCCAGAGAGCCAACUGUUACACAUUAACUAGCACACCACUGGAGUCAGCCCAACAAAUGAUUGGAAUCAGUUCCUGGUGUCCUUGCCAAAGCAUCGAGUUUUAAAUCACAGAUGACUGCCCCUGUGCCAACGAAUUCUUCUCCAGCCACCCAUCUAGCGUUAUGCUCCUUCGCCACCACACUGCGAAGAACCAGCGUCACCUGUGUUCCUUCAGCUCCUGCUGGCACACAUUAGCUUUGCAAUUCCUUUGGAGAACAGGACAGUUCUGACCAGAGCUGAGCAUAUGCCUCUCUGCUCUAGCUACGGUGAAGCCUGCCCCUGGAUGUUGGCAUCAAGGAGCAGUGGUGAGGGCAGGUCUUGAGAACAAACACCUUGCAGGACACCUACCACAGGAAGCACCACCCAAUGCCUUGCUCUCUGGCUGCACCCAUCAUAACUGACCACAGGUGAAAACUCCAGUAAUCAUAACGCCACUGUGUGAUGAACGGUCACCAGCGGUCAGCAAACUUUUUCUGUAAAAGGACAGAUACCCACAAGCCAUGGAAGAACAGGCCAUAGUUUGCUGACCCCUGGUCAUUACAAUCCCACUUACCAGAGGUAUGGAGACCCUGUGA
This 692-nucleotide long non-coding RNA is filed under the name Homo sapiens (human). RNAcentral's name for it is "HSALNT0309732". Lineage: Eukaryota; Metazoa; Chordata; Mammalia; Primates; Hominidae. The record is from RNAcentral.